This 253-nucleotide ribosomal RNA is filed under the name uncultured bacterium. RNAcentral describes it as "partial 16S ribosomal RNA". It matches the Rfam family "Bacterial small subunit ribosomal RNA", at positions 524 to 776 of the family's 1533-position model. The record is from RNAcentral.
UACGUAGGUGGCAAGCGAUACUCGGAAUCACUAGGCGUAAAGCGCAGGUAGGAGGUUUGGAAAGUCUCUUGUGAAAGCUCCCGGCUCAACUGGGAGAGGUCAAGGGAAACUACCAGGCUGGAGUGCGGUAGAGGUAGCUGGAAUUCCCGGUGUAGCGGUGAAAUGCGUAGAUAUCGGGAGGAAUACCUAUGGCGAAAGCAGGCUACUGGACCGUCACUGACUCUGAUCUGCGAAAGCUAGGGGAGCAAACAGG